Molecule: ribosomal RNA, 245 nt
Filed under: uncultured bacterium
Lineage: Bacteria
Description: partial 16S ribosomal RNA
Rfam family: Bacterial small subunit ribosomal RNA
Source: RNAcentral
AACGUAGGUGGCGAGCGUUGUUCGGAAUCACUGGGCAUAAAGCGCGCGUAGGCGGCUAGGUCAGUCGGGUGUGAAAGCCCUCGGCUCAACCGAGGAACUGCGCCCGAUACUGCCUGGCUUGAGGGCCGGAGGGGAGAGUGGAAUUCCCGGUGGAGCGGUGAAAUGCGUAGAGAUCGGGAAGAACGCCGGCGGCGAAAGCGACUCUCUGGACGGUACCUGACGCUGAGGCGCGAAAGCUAGGGGAG